Picea glauca (white spruce) is the source of this 45-nucleotide non-coding RNA. The record is from Rfam. Lineage: Eukaryota; Viridiplantae; Streptophyta; Pinopsida; Pinales; Pinaceae.
GAAACGGUGUCUUUAGACACCACCAAUCUCCUUGGAGUAUUGUUU